This 474-nucleotide ribosomal RNA is filed under the name uncultured organism. Its description in RNAcentral is "partial 16S ribosomal RNA". It matches the Rfam family "Bacterial small subunit ribosomal RNA", at positions 334 to 799 of the family's 1533-position model. The record is from RNAcentral.
CACUCCUACGGGAGGCAGCAGUGGGGAAUAUUGCACAAUGGGCGCAAGCCUGAUGCAGCCAUGCCGCGUGUAUGAAGAAGGCCUUCGGGUUGUAAAGUACUUUCAGCGGGGAGGAAGGCGAUAAGGUUAAUAACCUUGUCGAUUGACGUUACCCGCAGAAGAAGCACCGGCUAACUCCGUGCCAGCAGCCGCGGUAAUACGGAGGGUGCAAGCGUUAAUCGGAAUUACUGGGCGUAAAGCGCACGCAGGCGGUCUGUCAAGUCGGAUGUGAAAUCCCCGGGCUCAACCUGGGAACUGCAUUCGAAACUGGCAGGCUAGAGUCUUGUAGAGGGGGGUAGAAUUCCAGGUGUAGCGGUGAAAUGCGUAGGGAUCUGGAGGAAUACCGGUGGCGAAGGCGGCCCCCUGGACAAAGACUGACGCUCAGGUGCGAAAGCGUGGGGAGCAAACAGGAUUAGAAACCCUUGUAGUCCCAUG